RNAcentral lists this ribosomal RNA (251 nucleotides) under uncultured prokaryote. Its description in RNAcentral is "partial 16S rRNA". It matches the Rfam family "Bacterial small subunit ribosomal RNA", at positions 525 to 775 of the family's 1533-position model. The record is from RNAcentral.
ACAGAGGUGGCUAACGUUAUCCGGAAUUACUGGGUGUAAAGGGUCCGCAGGCGGUCUUGUAAGUCAAAGGUGAAAUAAUCCGGCUCAACCGGGUUUCUGCCUUUGAUACUGCAGGACUUGAGUACGGAAGAGGAGAGUGGAAUUCCCUGUGUAGCGGUGAAAUGCGUAGAUAUAGGGAAGAACACCGGUGGCGAAGGCGGCUCUCUGGUCCGAUACUGACGCUCAGGGACGAAAGCCAGGGGAGCAAACGG